AUAAACUCCAGAAUUUUCUGGUAAAAUGAACCCGUGUUUCCCCGUGAUCAAAGCAGCAUCUCCAGCCUCUCACUGCACAAGACCGUGAGCCUCACUGAUUUCCCCCGGCACCUUGAGAACCACUGGGCAAAGAAUAGUCUUCCCACGAAUAUCUGCAGGGUGAAUAACUCUCUAUGAAAGUCAGUGUGGCAGGGACACCUGGGUGGCUUAGUCGGUUGAGUGUCCGACUUCAGCUCGGGUCAUGAUCUCACAGCUCAUGAGUUCGAGCCCCGCAUCGGGCUUUGUGCUGACAGCUCAGAGCCUGGAGCCCCCUUUGGAUUCUGUGUCUCCCUCUCUCUGCCCCUAACCCACUUGCAUUCUGUCUCUGUCUCUCUCAAAAAUAAACAUUAAAAAAAAAUUAAAAAAAAAAAGUCAGUGUGGCAGUUGUUAAUGACAACAACGUACCCCAAGGACGGUGGUCGGGAGCAGGGGCACCUCAAGUACAGCUCCCACUAGCCUCUAUGUCUGGUCUUAUGCUCACUCUCCUCUACUCACGACUCUCUGCCCUCUCGCAGCGGCCGGCUUCUCUACAUCGAGUCUCUUCUCCUCCCUCCCAUCAUUCUGUACCUGUCUCCAGACUGAACGUGCCCUUCUAGAACUCAUGUGUUGAAACCUCACCCCAGUACGAUGAUGGUUGGAGGUGGGGUCUUCCUGGACGUGAUUUAGGUCAGGAGAGUGGAGCCCUUGUGAAAGGGGUUAGGUCCUUAUAAGAGAGACCUCAGAGAGCUCCCUUGUCCCAUCUGCCAUGCGAGGACACAGCAAGAAGACAACCAUCUGUGAAUCAGGAAUUGGGCCUUUACCAGACACCGAAUCUGCCAACACCUUGACCUUGGACUUCCAGCCUCCGGACCAGUGAGACGCAAAGGUCUGUUGUUAGAGCCGCCCAGGGCAUGGAGUUUUGUUACGGCAGCCUGAAUGGACUGAGACGUGCUUUUUUCUGUUCUCCCUCUUUUUACCCCCUCACUCAUCCCCUUUGAGCUUUCUCUUCCUCUUCCUCUCAUUUUCGAUUUGCCUCUUCUCCCCCACCCACCUUCUCCCUUCUUGGCCAAAUCCAUGGAACUAAGCUUUAUUUUAAAGCGGUCUUCUGAUUUAUUAAGUACCAGUCACUCAGUUCUUAAUUUUUCUCACGGAGCAUUGGAAUCUUACGGGCAUUUGCACCGCAACAAAGGACAGAUUAAUUUUUUUUAGUUGUGUGUGGCAAAAAAAAAAAAAAAAGAAUAAACGUUCUCUGUGAUGACAGGUGGCUCUUGAGAAGGUGAGGAGUGCCUGGCAGACUCCCCCGGACGCCCCGCUGCUUCUGCACACCGGAAUAGCCUGGCAGUUUCUCUCUCUCACCUGAGCAGUAGCAUCCAGAAAGCUGGCCAGUUCCCAAGUGAUGGAAGCAAGUUACCCUACUGGCCACAGCUCCUACUUGAUGAAGAAAAACAAAGGAUCUGCGGGUGGUGUCUGACUUUAUGUAGGGAAUUAGCUCAUACGUUCCUUGGCACAGUGCUGUCCCCCUUCUGGAUGCUCAAGAAAUAUGAUUUGAUGAUAAGCCUGCCUGUGAUUUCCAGAUGCCUUUGUUUCCCUCCUGUUGAUUCCUCAGUCUUGCCAGGGAAGUUUUACUUGAGUGAGAGAGAGGGCACAUGAGCAGGACGGAGGGGCAGAGGGAGACAGACUCUUAUAGUGCAGAGCCGGACGCAGGGCUCGAUCAUAUGACCCUGGGAUCAUGACCGGAGCUGAACUCAAGAGUUGGAUACUCAACCAACUGAGGUACCCAGGCGCCCCUACGGAGGUAUAUUUUAAAAGGUUAUACUAACUCUACAUAUGCGUGAAGAUGCCAAUUUUUCCCAUUGUCUCUAGCACUUAAUGUGAAUAGUCUUUUUAGAUGUUGCCAUUUUGAAAGGCAAACCGCGCCUCAUUUUAAUUUAUAUUUUAAAGAUUAUUGGUGAGAUUGAAUAUGUUUUCUCAUGUUUACUGGUCAUUUGUAUUUUUCAUCUGUGUUUUGCAUAUUCAGAGCCUUUGUCUAUUUUCUACUUUUGUAUUUAAAAAAUUGUUUUAAUGUUGAUUCAUUUUUGAGAGACAGAGAGACACAGAGCGUGAGUGGGGGAGGGUCAAGGAGAGUGGGAGACACAGAAUCCGAAUUCUCAGGCUCCAGGCUCUGAGCUGACAGCACAGACCCCUAUGCAGGGCUCAAACCCAUGAACUAUAAGAUCAUGACCUGAGCUGAAGCCAGAUGCUUAACUGACUGAGCCACCCACGCGCCCCAUACUUUUUUAUUAUUCAGUAAAAAUCACCUAUGUUCUAUAUUGCAUAUACGUAUAUAACAUGUAUGUUAUACAGUAUGCAAUUUGUAUGCAUUUCUCUUGUAAAUAAAAUUACCUUUUACUACACCCAUUAUACAAAAAUUUUAUUCUGCAUUGGAUGAAAUGAUUCAAUGUUAGGGAAUUUAACAGUGUAUUGAAUUAUAUUAGUAAAUAAUUUGAGUCAAGAAUCAUCUGAUCCUGAAAAAAAUUUUUUGAUCUAAUUGAGAAGAAAAUGUUGUGAUUAAAGACUUCAAGUAAAACACAAUUUCUGAUUAAAUACUUCUGAUAAAAAUAAAAACUCCCUAAAAUGACUUUUAAAUGCUAACCAGAGAUCACCAUAAAACAUGGUAUGAAAUUGUAAAAUCCGAAAGGCAUGCCUAUGGCAGCUGGAAACAAGACAAGCCACGCGGUACCUUCUGCUAAAAUUCAGUCUGGUUUGGGAGGGUUCAGCUAAUGCGAGAAGACAGAAGCAAGUGAAUGGUGUAAAUUUUGGAAAAGAGGUGAAAGCACUUCCACUUUUGGCCGAGAAUAUGAUUUUAUACCUAGAAAACUCAGGAGGCUUAACUAAAAAGAAAAUCUCUUCAAACUCAUUUUUUAAAAAAACCCAAGCACAUGAAGAUGUCACUGGGUAAGAUAAAUAUUUGAAAGCCUCAACAGCUUUCCUCACCACUAGCACAACAUUUAGAAAUUGAAAUGGUAAAAGAUUCCAUUCAUGACAGCUACUAAAACUACAGAAUGACUAAAAAUACAUUUAUCAAGGAAGUCAUAGGGCUAGAAUACAUCAUUCAAUAUUAAUAUUUUACAGAAGACAUAAAGGAAGGCUUUAGUAAA
Long non-coding RNA from Acinonyx jubatus (cheetah), 3155 nucleotides. RefSeq lists it as uncharacterized. Lineage: Eukaryota; Metazoa; Chordata; Mammalia; Carnivora; Felidae. The record is from RefSeq and is a predicted model, not a curated record. The transcript has 3 exons.